GGAAUGGUCCAGUUUAUUACUGUGUAUGCAUCUCCCCAAAAUGGACGUUGUAUGGAACUUCUCCAGACCCUGCGGGCCCAGCUUUCUACAAUCAGGGCAGUCAUGAUGGGAGAUGAUGCUAACUGUCCGAUGAAGGAAGGGGGAUUCAGCUCACAGAAUGCAGACAAGCUGAAUGUAAACUCCAAAGAAUCCAUGUUCAAAAUGCAAUAAUGAGGCAAAACGGUGGUUCUUUGUUUAACUCAUUUGCAUAUGUCCAC
This is a non-coding RNA of Pelobates cultripes (western spadefoot toad), 257 nucleotides long. Lineage: Eukaryota; Metazoa; Chordata; Amphibia; Anura; Pelobatidae. The record is from the annotation of a GenBank genome assembly.